UAGCUAAUCUGCCCUACACUAGAGGACAACAGUUGGAAACGGCUGCUAAUACUCUAUACUCCUGUCUUACAUAAGUUAGAUAGGGAAAGUUUUUCGGUGUAGGAUGAGGCUAUAUUGUAUCAGCUAGUUGGUGAGGUAAUGGCUCACCAAGGCUAUGACGCAUAACUGGUCUGAGAGGAUGAUCAGUCACACUGGAACUGAGACACGGUCCAG
RNAcentral lists this ribosomal RNA (213 nucleotides) under uncultured bacterium. RNAcentral's name for it is "partial 16S ribosomal RNA". It matches the Rfam family "Bacterial small subunit ribosomal RNA", at positions 118 to 334 of the family's 1533-position model. The record is from RNAcentral.